Molecule: long non-coding RNA, 406 nt
Organism: Pteropus alecto (black flying fox)
Lineage: Eukaryota; Metazoa; Chordata; Mammalia; Chiroptera; Pteropodidae
Exons: 3
Source: RefSeq, a predicted model, not a curated record
GAUGUUCAACAUCAUUAACUACAGAGAAGUACAAAUUAAGCUAUAAUGACAUACCAUUCAACAUUUAUUAGACUGGCUAAAAUAAAACAUACCGAUAAAUCCUAUGUGCUGAUGAUUAUAAGGAACAAUUUGGAAAUGUCAAGUGUUUAGCUCCUCUGGAGAACAGUAUGUUGUAUACUUUUAUAUUAUCAGGUAUGUUUCAUUUGGAGCAUUUAUCAUUUUAAUUAUAUUUUCAGGUGAUGAUCUUCCCCAGUAGGUGAGACCAUGUCUGUUUUUGUCCACUACGUCAUUCCAGCUUCUAGUACCAAUGCCUGUGCAUGCCCUGUUUUUCCUGGAUGCUAUAAUAAAGAACUGAGUGGCUAUACCAAUUUAUGUUCCUACCAACAAUGCACCAGAUUCCUGUUUC